RNAcentral lists this ribosomal RNA (254 nucleotides) under uncultured bacterium. Its description in RNAcentral is "partial 16S ribosomal RNA". It matches the Rfam family "Bacterial small subunit ribosomal RNA", at positions 524 to 776 of the family's 1533-position model. The record is from RNAcentral.
UACGUAGGGGGCGAGCGUUGUCCGGAAUUAUUGGGCGUAAAGAGCGCGUAGGCGGUGUGUCACGUCGGCCGUGAAAACCUGCAGCUUAACUGUGGGCGUGCGGUCGAUACGGGCAUCACUGGAGUUCGGCAGGGGAGACUGGAAUUCCUGGUGUAGCGGUGAAAUGCGCAGAUAUCAGGAGGAACACCGGUGGCGAAGGCGGGUCUCUGGGCCGAUACUGACGCUGAGGAGCGAAAGCGUGGGGAGCAAACAGG